This 847-nucleotide ribosomal RNA is filed under the name uncultured Zetaproteobacteria bacterium. RNAcentral's name for it is "bacterial SSU rRNA". It matches the Rfam family "Bacterial small subunit ribosomal RNA", at positions 44 to 883 of the family's 1533-position model. Lineage: Bacteria; Pseudomonadati; Pseudomonadota; Candidatius Mariprofundia. The record is from RNAcentral.
GUGCCUAACACAUGCAAGUCGAACGGUAACAGGGACUUCGGUCCGCUGACGAGUGGCGCACGGGUGAGUAACGCGUGGAGUUACCUACCCAUCAGUGAGGAACAACCUGGAGAAAUCCAGGCUAAUACCGCAUACGACCUUCGGGUGAAAGAGGGGGAUCUUCGGACCUCUSGCUGAUGGAUGGUUCCGCGUCCGAUUAGUUAGUUGGUAAGGUAAUGGCUUACCAAGACGAUGAUCGGUAGCUGGUUUGAGAGGAUGAUCAGCCACACUGGAACUGAGACACGGUCCAGACUCCUACGGGAGGCAGCAGUGGGGAAUUUUGCACAAUGGGCGCAAGCCUGAUGCAGCGACGCCGCGUGCGGGAAGAAGGCCUUCGGGUUGUAAACCGCUUUCAACAGGGAAGAAGGAAUGAGGGUCAAUACCCCUCUGCCUUGACGGUACCUGUAGAAGAAGCCCCGGCUAAUUUCGUGCCAGCAGCCGCGGUAAUACGAAAGGGGCAAGCGUUGUUCGGAUUUACUGGGCGUAAAGAGAUCGUAGGUGGCUUGUUAAGUCGGAUGUGAAAUCCCGGGGCUCAACCCCGGAACUGCAUUCGAUACUGGCAGGCUUGAGUUCGGGAGGGGGAAGCGGAAUUCCGUGUGUAGCAGUGAAAUGCGUAGAUAUACGGAGGAACACCUGAGGCGAAGGCGGCUUCCUGGACCGAUACUGACACUGAGGAUCGAAAGCGUGGGUAGCAAACAGGAUUAGAUACCCUGGUAGUCCACGCCCUAAACGAUGUCUACUAGCCGUUGCGGGUAUCGACCCCUGCAGUGGCGCAGCUAACGCGAUAAGUAGACCGCCUGGGGAGUAC